UACGAAGGGGGCUAGCGUUGUUCGGAAUUACUGGGCGUAAAGCGCACGUAGGCGGACAUUUAAGUCAGGGGUGAAAUCCCGGAGCUCAACUUCGGAACUGCCUUUGAUACAGCACGUCUUGAGUCCGGAAGAGGUGGGUGGAAUUCCUAGUGUAGAGGUGAAAUUCGUAGAUAUUAGGAAGAACACCGGUGGCGAAGGCGGCCCACUGGUCCGGUACUGACGCUGGGGUGCGAAAGCGUGGGGAGCAAACAGG
This 253-nucleotide ribosomal RNA is filed under the name uncultured bacterium. RNAcentral's name for it is "partial 16S ribosomal RNA". It matches the Rfam family "Bacterial small subunit ribosomal RNA", at positions 524 to 776 of the family's 1533-position model. The record is from RNAcentral.